RNAcentral lists this ribosomal RNA (440 nucleotides) under uncultured bacterium. Its description in RNAcentral is "bacterial SSU rRNA". It matches the Rfam family "Bacterial small subunit ribosomal RNA", at positions 338 to 773 of the family's 1533-position model. The record is from RNAcentral.
CCUACGGGUGGCUGCAGUCGAGAAUCUUCGGCAAUGGGCGCAAGCCUGACCGAGCGACGCCACGUGCGGGAUGACGGCCCUCGGGUUGUAAACCGCUGUCGGGGGGGAUGAAGUCACGGGAGGUCCUCCUCCCGUGUUGACAGAGCCCCGGAGGAAGCGCGGGCUAAGUACGUGCCAGCAGCCGCGGUAAGACGUACUGCGCGAACGUUAUUCGGAAUCACUGGGCUUAAAGGGUGCGCAGGCGGCUGCCCAAGCCCGAAGUGAAAUGCCCCGGCCCAACCGGGGACGUGCUUCGGGGACUGGGCGGCUCGGGCGAGCUAGGGGUCUGUGGAACUCCCGGUGGAGCGGUGAAAUGUGUUGAGAUCGGGAGGAACGCCGGUGGCGAAAGCGACAGACUGGGGCUUUGCCGACGCUCAGGCACGAAAGCCAGGGGAGCGAAC